AUUAGAUAAAAAACCAACGCCCUUCGGGGCUCCUUGGUGAAUCAUAAUAACUUAACGAAUCGCAUGGCCUUGCGCCGGCGAUGGUUCAUUCAAAUUUCUGCCCUAUCAACUUUCGAUGGUAGGAUAGUGGCCUACCAUGGUGGCAACGGGUAACGGGGAAUUAGGGUUCGAUUCCGGAGAGGGAGCCUGAGAAACGGCUACCACAUCCAAGGAAGGCAGCAGGCGCGCAAAUUACCCAAUCCCGAUACGGGGAGGUAGUGACAAUAAAUACUGAUACGGGGCUCUUUUGGGUCUCGUAAUUGGAAUGAGAACAAUUUAAAUCCCUUAACGAGGAACAAUUGGAAGGCAAGUCUGGUGCCAGCAGCCGCGGUAAUUCCAGCUCCAAUAGCGUAUAUUAAAGUUGUUGCAGUUAAAAAGCUCGUAGUUGAACCUUGGCCCUGGCUGGCCGGUCCGCCUCACCGCGAGUACUGGUCCGGCUGGGGCUUUCCUUCUGGGGAACCUCAUGGCCUUCACUGGC
RNAcentral lists this ribosomal RNA (517 nucleotides) under uncultured fungus. Its description in RNAcentral is "SSU rRNA". It matches the Rfam family "Eukaryotic small subunit ribosomal RNA", at positions 209 to 726 of the family's 1831-position model. The record is from RNAcentral. Lineage: Eukaryota; Fungi.